This 831-nucleotide small RNA is filed under the name Pongo abelii (Sumatran orangutan). RNAcentral's name for it is "retained intron". Lineage: Eukaryota; Metazoa; Chordata; Mammalia; Primates; Hominidae. The record is from RNAcentral.
AAUGGCGCGCCCAGGACGGCUCUUGCGGCUGGCUGUCCAAACUGGGCCCGCGUCCUGAAGUGACCCCAGCCUGACCUCGGCCAGCUGCUUGUGACCUUGGCCUGUCCCAGCACCCUUGGUCACUUCGGUCUGAUCCCCGGCUCAGGAUCCAGGAACACCCUCUCCUGAGAGCGAAUCACGGUCUAGGGGUCAGCGGCGGAGAGGGAUGGGGUGGGUAAUGGGACAGGGUGUGCGUCUGGUGCCCUGCAGGAGGAGGCCAUUGCUGGGUGGAGAGGUGGGCGCAGAGAGUCAGAUCCCCAGGUAGGGCUGGGUGGUGUCCUGGCAGGCGCUGAGCGGAGAUCUUGCAGGCAGUGGCCUUGUCGUCGAAGUCUGGCCUUUCCCGAGGCCGGAAGGUGAUGCUGUCAGCGCUGGGCAUGCUGGCGGCAGGGGGUGCGGGGCUGGCCGUGGCUCUGCAUUCGGCUGUGAGUGCCAAUGACCUGGAGCUGCACCCCCCCAGCUAUCCGUGGUCUCACCGUGGCCUCCUCUCUUCCUUGGACCACACCAGGUAUAUAAGCAGGUGUGCGCCUCCUGCCACAGCAUGGACUUCGUGGCUUACCGCCACCUGGUGGGCGUGUGCUACACGGAGGAUGAAGCUAAGGAGCUGGCUGCGGAGGUGGAGGUUCAAGACGGCCCCAAUGAAAAUGGGGAGAUGUUCAUGCGGCCAGGGAAGCUGUUCGACUAUUUCCCAAAACCAUACCCCAACAGUGAGGCUGCUCGAGCUGCCAACAACGGAGCAUUGCCCCCUGACCUCAGCUACAUCGUGCGAGCUAGGUACACGGGCUGCCCAUGGGG